CGGGCAAAACUCGCGGCCCGCUGGGCGUUGGGGUCCGAGCGAGUCUGGAAGGCGCGCCUGGGGCUGUGAUGAAGCCGGAGGCUGCACUGAGCAGAAGGAAGGUCCAGUCUGAAGGCCUGCGGGGCGCGGGGAUGAGCGCCGAAGACUGCGGGAGGACGCGCGCAGGCGUCCGGGUUCUGAGUUGAGGAUAACCAGAAGACAGUCUGAUGUGUCAAAGGAAAGUGUCACCUCAGCAGUCCCACCUGUUAUCACCUCCAGCUGCCACUGAGUUGGAUCCUGGUGCAAUGCUUACCAGUAUGCCACCAGCUUAAGGGCCUCAUCAAAAGAACAGCACCAUCUUACAUCGCCAGCCUUUGUUUUGGAUUACUGGACACGGCAGAUACUAUCUGGCACAGGGAAGCUAUUUGUGGCCUUGGAAACUCUUUCCUUUUACCCCAUCUUCCUUUUGUUAAUAAACCCGAUUUUUG
Molecule: long non-coding RNA, 467 nt
Organism: Talpa occidentalis (Iberian mole)
Lineage: Eukaryota; Metazoa; Chordata; Mammalia; Eulipotyphla; Talpidae
Exons: 3
Source: RefSeq, a predicted model, not a curated record